Molecule: microRNA, 21 nt
Filed under: Medicago truncatula (barrel medic)
Lineage: Eukaryota; Viridiplantae; Streptophyta; Magnoliopsida; Fabales; Fabaceae
Description: mtr-miR2630y
Source: miRBase by way of RNAcentral
UGGUUUUGGUCCUUGGUAUUU